This is a long non-coding RNA of Sinocyclocheilus grahami, 442 nucleotides long. RefSeq lists it as uncharacterized. The transcript is spliced from 4 exons. The record is from RefSeq and is a predicted model, not a curated record. Lineage: Eukaryota; Metazoa; Chordata; Actinopteri; Cypriniformes; Cyprinidae.
UAACAACCAAAAAAAGAAGACCAAAAAUAUAAUUCAACAGAAGAUAAUGGCUGUGGUGAAGGAAGCACUCAAAUAAUGGAACUAAGACCUGUGGGAGUGCUGGAGAAAUCAAGUGUACCAAGUCCUCUGUCUCCUCAGCCAUGUAAGAGAUCUUCAGACAUAAAGAGAUUAAGGAGUUAAUCAAAGAGCUAAAAGAAGAUUUACAAUAUUAGUGCCAAUUCAGUAUGAAAACAGAAAGAGAGCUGAGGGAGUGGAAAGAAAUGCAUGUUAUUGUGCAAGGGGUAGUUGCAUGGACUCAGUGGAGGGACAGAAGCUUCAUUAUCAUUAUAAAGAUUUUAAUUUGUGUUCUGAAGUUGAACGAAAGAUGUGCGAAAGGUGAACGAAACACUUGGAACGACAUGACGACUACAUCCAAAAUAGUGUUUCCACAUCUGAGAUAAAG